Molecule: long non-coding RNA, 5666 nt
Filed under: Sus scrofa (pig)
Lineage: Eukaryota; Metazoa; Chordata; Mammalia; Artiodactyla; Suidae
Description: lncRNA (ENSSSCG00035043352.1)
Rfam family: Small nucleolar RNA SNORD113/SNORD114 family (bases 579-653)
Source: RNAcentral
GCCAGCUGGUGGUUGGUGGGUGUCCCGAGACAGGGCUGUGCCCUGCCAGCAGGGUUGCCCCGAUGGAGGCGUGCAUGUGGAAGCCGCGAGCCUGGAGAAUGGCUGUGCCAUUGGGUCUCCUGCUCUUGGCUUUGUACUCUUCAGCAGGCAGCCGCCAGGCCCGAAGGCCGGCUCCUUCCUGGAUGAGCAGGCGAGGAUGGCAGCGUUGUCUUUGGAGCCAGGGGACCAGUGUGAGCAGCAUCCCAGGGCUUGUCGGGGCUGGGCUGGGCAGGGCAGUGCGAGGGGCUGGUGGAGGGUGGGCGGCAGAUGCGGGCGAGGCCAGCAGUCCAGAAGGGCUCUGGCGUCCCAGGGAUGGGACAGCUCUGGCUAGGAAGGUCUCUUGGACGUCCUGCACAGGGGCCCAGCUGGUCCUCCGCGGCCCAGAGAGACCGAAAGCCAGGGGACGGGUCCUAGAGGCCCCCCGAGGGAUGGCGAGGCCUCGUUGGGUGGGGCGGGCCCCUUGGGUUGCCCAGUGGCCGUGCGGGGAGGAAUGCCUGACUCCACGGGCCAUGGCGAAGGAAGAGAAGGUCCCCCUUUUCUGGAUCGAUGAUGAUCAAUGCCAGCGUAUGAGGCAUCGAUGACGAAUAAUGUGUGUCUGGAACUCUGAGGUCCACUCGCAAGGAAACGGGGCCUUUCUCUUCCUGCCUUUCCAUCCUCGAGCCCAACGGGGCAGCGCCGACCGCCCGAGGAGCCCAGUCGAUGGCGUCUCACUGUGGGUGUCACCUUGUCUCUUGGGUCCCUUGUAGGGUGGAAGCCGAAGGCCGGGCCAGGCUGCGUGGGGCCGAGACCCCUCCUCUGGCGGUGGUGGCAGGAGAGAUCCCAAGAGUGUGUACCCCUCAGAGCAAUUGCACUGGAGAUGCUUUACCAUCUUCCGUACGGACCCGAGCUCUGGGAUUGCCUCUGAACAUACGUGUUAGGACAUGGGAGAGUCACGUGAGUAACCGUUGAGAUUCCUUCCUCAGUUCAUUUGGAUUUAAACAAUCAAGCAAUAGAAAGCCAUGUAGAGAAACAGGAGCACUGUUGUAUCAAUGAUGACUUCCCGUGGCGUUAUGAGUGCUAUGUGAUGAGUACCUGCCUGGAACUCUGAGGUCCAGUGUGGAUGGAGUCUGUUCCAUCGUCCUGUUUGAAGUGGUCCUACAGGCAGAGGUUAGGAAUGAAAAAGGAUGUUCGUAUUGGUGAUCCUGACCGUGCAUUUUUAUCCUAUUUGCAUAGUAGAUCAACGAAAGAGUCAGUAGACAGGUGUGUAACUUUAAAAAUAUGAUGAAGGUGAUGCCUUUUCUCAUUAUAAAAACGUGUCUCUAGGCAGAAAUUAUUAUCUUAUACUAAGAUAUUAAUACAUAUUGAAAAGACUGAUAAUCAUUGUGAGAAAAGCGGUAUUAAUAUGCUAUCUCUUUGGCUAAGGGUGAUGUAGAAAGUGACAGGUAAUUGUAAUUAACUCAGUCAGUUAACAGUUUGACAUUUGAUUAUUGAGGGCAAACGAAAUAAAUAUUGCGAUGAGGAUAUGACUCCACUACUGUGCAAAUGGAUAGUGGAAGAUUUGGAUCAAGGGAGAGACUAUCUCAAUAUUUUUAAAACCUUGUCUGCUUGUCGUUGUUCAGAGGACAUGCUCCCGCUCUUUCGGCUUCUGCUGAGCUCAAGAUUGUCAGGCCGCCUCCGCGCCAGCAAAGAAGCGAAGGUGACCGUGGGGCAGGUUGUUGUUGGGUCGGGUGGUCUGUUUGCGGGUACUCAGGGUACUAUUAGAAAGCGUGGAAUGAAUCUGAAAGGUACUCGUCAUUCCACGCGAGAGGGGCUGCGCCUCACUGUCUGCUGAGGGAUGAUGGGCAGGACUGAGGUGGGAGAGUGGAAGAGAGAGCCCCUCGGUGGGAAAGGACGCUACAGACUGAGCUUAGGGAUGUUGGCGGACCUUGUUCUGGGGGGACGUCGCGAACCCUGUAUUGUAUUGACGCUUCUCAAUGAAGUAAUGAUAGCAUCGAUACCAGUACGGAAAUGAACGAGGCGCAGAGACUCGGUCAUGGACCAGUGAUGAGGGUCGUGACGGGAGGAGUCCUGAACGAUGACAACAUCUGAAACUCUGAGGUCCAACCCAGCGCCCGAGUCGCCUCUUGCCUCGGGUGUCACUGUGCCUGUAGAGCGAUGUCAGGAAUACGGAGACAUCACCUCCUUGUGUUAUUUCACAGACUUAGAUUUGCUGCUCUGACUAGAGCUGUGUUAGAGCCAUCAAGCCAGCAUAAGCUAACAUGUAAGGAAACACAGGGUGAUGCAGUGUCCAAGUAGGAACAUAUCUCGUGGGGGAAAGAGACUGUCCGUAAACCCUGAAAGCAGGGAUGCUCAUUAAGUAAAUGGGGCAGGGCCACCUCUCUGACCGAGGUUAGAUCGAAAAGCAGAAGUAAGGGUCACUUUAACUGUUCUGCCUCAGACGAAUGGUUGAGUUUCUUAACAAGAAAAAUAUCUUGAGAAAGAAAAAAAAUAAAUGUCUACAUACUGAGUACAUGAAAUUUAGAAAGCAGUGAUCACUGGUGAUUAGAUCUCAAUAUCUUAGUAUCUUUAUCAUCUCCUCUGUGCUCCUUGGAACGACGAGAGGGGCUUUGGCGUCUUCCAUGGGCACCAGCUCUGUGGUUGUCCCUGUGUAGUGGGGGGAUGGAGAAUAAUGUGAGUAAUAGCUGAAGUUCUGUUCUCAGCUUUUUUAUUAUUAAAUUACUUACAGUAUUACUAAGAAAUGUGAAAUGUAUGUACGGGAGGCAGCUGCACUUAGUGUUGCGUAUAGAUAUAUGAAACAUUGAAAAUGCAUAUCUGGAAACAGAGUAUUAAAGGGAGGUGUAUAUUUAAGUAAGAAUAAUUUUGUAUCCCUCAAUGUUUUUCUAGUUUUUUUUUUUAAAUUGUAUUGCUUAAAAAUUAAUCGUGAAUUUUGAUAUAUUCAAUACAAAUAGAAAAGGUACGUAUAAAACGAGAAAUAAUAUUGCAUCAAUGAUUCCUUCUAGUCUCUGAGUGAUAUAUGAUGACUACCCGUGUGGAACUCUGAGAUUCAACAUAAAAUUUUUUUUUUCUUGCCUCUAUAAUGUUUUAUUUUUAUUAUUUUUUUUAUUUUCCCACUGUACAGCAAGGGGGUCAGAUUAUCCUUAGAUGUAUACAUUGCAGUUACAGUUUUUUCCCCCACCAACAUAAAAUUAAUCUAGCCCGUUCUCAACUUGUGAAGGCAUCCUAUAGACAGAUAUCAGGAAUAAAUGAGGGGCUUGUUUUUCUUUGUUGUUUUCAUGGAUUUCGUUUCUAUUAUUAUCCUUGUGUAAUAUAAGAAUCUGUAAAUAUAUAAUUAAAAACAAAAAUUAAUGGAGUAAAUGAUUUCCAGUUACUGAAAUGUUUGUUGAGACAAGAAAUACAGUUGAUAGACCAUGGCACCCUGAAGUUCGAUUAGAAAUUAAUGGGGUCCCUGAUGCUUACUGCUUAUGGGUAAGGAUGAAACGGCCAGGAUCAGUUACAGACAACCAUCGUAUUCUGGCUCAGUGGCAAGACCAGAGUUGCUGUUCUUCUUAACAGACUAAGUAUAUGUAGUAAAUUAAUGAUUUUCUUUUUGAAUUUUGGAGCAGGGAUUAGCAGAGAGACUGUGUUUUUUUUUUACCAUCCUCUUUGCUUUCUAUUGCUCAGGAGGGUGCACCGGACCUGAAUGCAGCUUUCUUCCUUGAUGAGCAGGUGAGGAUGGCAUCAUUAUCUUUGGACUCAGGAGACCAGUGUGAGCAGCAUCCCCUUCCUGGUAUUGGUUUCGGUGGUCCAUCUAAGGGUAUUUACUGCAUUAAUAAAAUGUUUGAAAUAGAAGUAAGGCAGUCCAUUUUUAUCCUGUUGCUAUAAAGAGAUUAAUAUGACCCAUCAUACUGAUUAAUGCACAUUUGAAAAACCAGUCAUGAUUGUGGCAGAGGUAGAAUGAUGUGACAAUGGUUCUGUACACAUAGUGGGUAUAGCAAGGGCUUUUUGGGUUUUGUGAAUCAUAGAGUUAUAAAUUAUAACCAGCGAAUCAAUGAAUUGAUCGGUCAGCAAUAUAGAAUGAAGGGACAGCGAUCUUUUCUGGACCAGUGAUGAUGAAAGCCGGCGUGUGAGUCAGCGACGAUGAGCAUGAGUAGUAGUGUCUGGAACUCUGAGGUCCAGGGGAAGAAAUGCGGCUUUUCUCUUCAUGCGAUUUCAUUCUUGAUUCUAACUGGACCAACGAAAGACUCCGUAGCCAAAUGUGGAUCAAUGGGGAAAAAGUCUCUGUCUCUUCAUCACCUUCUCUGUUGGGUACUUUUCAGGACAGGAGCUCAAAGGGAUGUUGGCCUCCGCUGGGAUGAAGGCUCUCCUCUUGGAGUUGUUCUAGGAGAGACCAAGGUGAGUCAGGGCCAAGUUCCUGUCUUGGUUUGGGUGGUUGGUUUAGGGUUUUGCUGCAUUGUUAAAGCAAUGAAUAUGAUCAAAAGGUUAAGGAUGGCCCAUUGAUAAAUAUGACAUGAAAUCUUACGUUAAAGAAGUGAUAAUAUGUAACGUUGUUGGUCAUUAAUGAAAGAUUUAUAAUCCACUUUGGUAAUAAUUGGAGGAGAAAUUGGGGAUAUUUUAGGGUAUUGUUCUUUUAUUUUGGUGAAUUAUAUUUUUAUUUUAUUAUUAUCAAUAAAGUAGUGAUUUAAUUGAUAUAAAUAUACACUUGAAUGAACUAAAAGUGGGCUCAAAUCUACCAGUGAUGAGGACUGGUAGAGGACGAGUCAUGGACAGUGCAUAAGGAGUGUCUGGAACCCCGAGGUCCAACAUAAUACAUACUAUAUUGUCUAUGUUUAUUUGAUCCUAUGGACAGACGUUAGAAAUGCGUAAACUCAGGCCCGCUUUAUGGGUUAAUAGAUUUCAAUUUAACAUCGUUAAUGGUUCAAUAAUAGAACCAUUAUAUUUAAGUAAUAGACUUAAGAAGAAAGGGUAAAUUAUUAUCUACCUAUGUACGUAUAUGGUCAGGCAAGAAGUAGUAUUGAAAAUCGUGGAAUUCCCAUUGUGGCUUAGCAGGUGAAGACCUGACCUCGUCUCUAUCAGGAUACCAGUUUGGUCCUUGGCCUCACUCAGUGGCUUAAGGAUUCUGCAUUGUCACAAGCUGCAGUGUAGAUCACAAAUGUGGCUUGAAUUUGAUGCUGCUGUGGCUGUGGCUUAGGCCUCCGUCGUAGCACCGAUUUGAUACCUAGCCUGGGAACUUCCAUAUGCCAUGGGUAUGGCUAUAAUCUAAUCACUUGUGAUGGAAUAUGGUGGAGGAUAACGUGAAAAAAAGAAUGUGUAUGUUUAUAUACACUGUGCUGUACAGCAGAAAUUGACAGAACACUGUUUUUUGGGGGUUUUGUUGUUGUUGUUUUUUGUUUUUUGUUUGUUUUUUAGUGCUACCCCCACAGCAUCAUAGCAUAGGGAAGCUUCCAGGUUAGGGGUCGAAUCAGAACUGCAGCUGUUGGCCUACGCCACAGCCACAGUAAUGUGGGAUCAAAGCUGCAUCUGUGGCCUACACUGCAAUGCCAGAUCCCUGACCCACUGAGUGAGGCCAAAUGUCGAACCUGCAGCCUCAUAGGUACCAGUCAGAUUCAUUUCUGCUGCGCUACAGCAGAAACUCCUAACAGAACGUUGUAAACCAGCUGUAAUAAAAAAAA